UACGAAGGGGGCUAGCGUUGCUCGGAAUCACUGGGCGUAAAGCGCACGUAGGCGGAUUGUUAAGUCAGGGGUGAAAUCCUGGAGCUCAACUCCAGAACUGCCUUUGAUACUGGCGAUCUCGAGUCCGGGAGAGGGAUGCGGAAUUCCAGGUGUAGCGGUGAAAUGCGUAGAUAUCUGGAGGAACACCGGUGGCGAAGGCGGCAUCCUGGACCGGCAUUGACGCUGAGGCGCGAAAGCGUGGGGAGCAAACAGG
RNAcentral lists this ribosomal RNA (253 nucleotides) under uncultured bacterium. RNAcentral's name for it is "partial 16S ribosomal RNA". It matches the Rfam family "Bacterial small subunit ribosomal RNA", at positions 524 to 776 of the family's 1533-position model. The record is from RNAcentral.